GACAAGCUGCCACCACCUCGGUGCUUGCAGGUCAAGCCGACAGCCAGGGCAGGGGCACGUGCGGCGCGGUGACGUGGGAGGCUCUGAAAAGGGGCACGGACCACGGCGUGGGCAGGGGCAGGUGGGCCACGGACAGCCAGGGAAGCUCGCGGGGCAGGACAGGGCGCUCGCAAGUGGGCCACUGGGUAGACGCUCGCCCGGCCUCCACCCUCGGAUUGGCUCGUGCCUCCCACGACCAAGGCCACCUGAAGCCAGAGGCGCGGAGCCCAGGGAGCCCAGGGCCAACGUGCAGCCGCCGAGGGCAGACGGGGCAGCACACAGCCACACCUGAGGGGACACCAGCUUCGCGCCCACACACCGCGUCAGAGUCGGCACCCGCGCGCGUUCCUGGGGAGCGUCCAGGACUGUGCUCAGGGAGCUUUACAUCCCACUGGUGGGAAACCACUAGCACCUGCGCUCAGGAAGCACACAGCGGGUGGACACCGGGAAGGCCUCGCUGGACGCCACGGACAUCGAAGCCUCCCGUGUGACGCAGGCCCACCGCCCCCAGGCCCUUGUGCACAUCCCCAGCCCGAGGGGCAAGGACGUUCUGGACAGGCCUCCCUGCGUGGGACAGUUCCCAUGACUUUGGAUUUGCUGUGUAGGGGCCACCCCUGAAGAGGAAAGCAGGAGCAUGCUCCUGCCCGAGAGCAGACGAGGGCCCUGCAAGAAUCCCAGGGAGACCGGACCCCAGAGGCCCGUUCCAGGGCUCUGAAGUGCUUUCUGGGGGACAGGAGUGGGGGUGAGCCCUCCACCCUGCCUUCCAGGGCCACUCUGAGGACACCAGGACCCUAGGCUUCCGAGGAAGGCGGAGGGGAGAGAAGGGGGAGGGGGUCUCAGCCCACGUCCCGCCCCCAGGAAGACACCUGACCCGUCUCCAAGUUGCCGGCCCGUGGCGAGAGGGGCCUUUGUGCGCGUGGAAGGCGGCUGCCUGGGACCCGGAGCCCUGAGCCACCCCGGCUGCGCCGCCUCCCUGCGCCCUUCACGCCCAGCCGAGGAGCUCGCAAAUAAAUCCACAGACACAAAAUCUUGUGUGCCGGGGAGAGACUGCGGCGUGGGCAGCGGCGGAGAGCAGGUGCGGGGCGCAGCGAGGCUGGGCGCGGGGAGGCUGGGCCCGCGCCCGCCCAACGGGAGCACAAACCCGCGCCGGGGCCUG
Long non-coding RNA from Canis lupus familiaris (dog), 1195 nucleotides. RefSeq lists it as uncharacterized. The transcript has 5 exons. NCBI's taxonomy places the organism in Eukaryota, Metazoa, Chordata, Mammalia, Carnivora, Canidae. The record is from RefSeq and is a predicted model, not a curated record.